Molecule: ribosomal RNA, 1430 nt
Filed under: uncultured organism
Description: 16S ribosomal RNA
Rfam family: Bacterial small subunit ribosomal RNA
Source: RNAcentral
CGACAGGCUUAACACAUGCAAGUCGAGGGGCAGCACAGGUAGCAAUACCGGGUGGCGACCGGCGCACGGGUGAGUAACGCGUAUGCAACUUACCUAUCAGAGGGGGAUAACCCGGCGAAAGUCGGACUAAUACCGCAUGAAGCAGGGGCCCCGCAUGGGGAUAUUUGCUAAAGAUUCAUCGCUGAUAGAUAGGCAUGCGUUCCAUUAGGCAGUUGGCGGGGUAACGGCCCACCAAACCGACGAUGGAUAGGGGUUCUGAGAGGAAGGUCCCCCACAUUGGUACUGAGACACGGACCAAACUCCUACGGGAGGCAGCAGUGAGGAAUAUUGGUCAAUGGCCGAGAGGCUGAACCAGCCAAGUCGCGUGAGGGAUGAAGGUUCUAUGGAUCGUAAACCUCUUUUAUAAGGGAAUAAAGUGCGGGACGUGUCCCGUUUUGUAUGUACCUUAUGAAUAAGGAUCGGCUAACUCCGUGCCAGCAGCCGCGGUAAUACGGAGGAUCCGAGCGUUAUCCGGAUUUAUUGGGUUUAAAGGGUGCGUAGGCGGCCUUUUAAGUCAGCGGUGAAAGUCUGUGGCUCAACCAUAGAAUUGCCGUUGAAACUGGGGGGCUUGAGUAUGUUUGAGGCAGGCGGAAUGCGUGGUGUAGCGGUGAAAUGCAUAGAUAUCACGCAGAACCCCGAUUGCGAAGGCAGCCUGCCAAGCCAUUACUGACGCUGAUGCACGAAAGCGUGGGGAUCAAACAGGAUUAGAUACCCUGGUAGUCCACGCAGUAAACGAUGAUCACUAGCUGUUUGCGAUACACUGUAAGCGGCACAGCGAAAGCGUUAAGUGAUCCACCUGGGGAGUACGCCGGCAACGGUGAAACUCAAAGGAAUUGACGGGGGCCCGCACAAGCGGAGGAACAUGUGGUUUAAUUCGAUGAUACGCGAGGAACCUUACCCGGGUUUGAACGCAUUCGGACCGAGGUGGAAACACCUUUUCUAGCAAUAGCCGUUUGCGAGGUGCUGCAUGGUUGUCGUCAGCUCGUGCCGUGAGGUGUCGGCUUAAGUGCCAUAACGAGCGCAACCCUUGCCACUAGUUACUAACAGGUGAUGCUGAGGACUCUGGUGGGACUGCCAGCGUAAGCUGCGAGGAAGGCGGGGAUGACGUCAAAUCAGCACGGCCCUUACAUCCGGGGCGACACACGUGUUACAAUGGCGUGGACAAAGGGAGGCCACCUGGCGACAGGGAGCGAAUCCCCAAACCACGUCUCAGUUCGGAUCGGAGUCUGCAACCCGACUCCGUGAAGCUGGAUUCGCUAGUAAUCGCGCAUCAGCCAUGGCGCGGUGAAUACGUUCCCGGGCCUUGUACACACCGCCCGUCAAGCCAUGGGAGCCGGGGGUACCUGAAGUCCGUAACCGAAAGGAUCGGCCUAGGGUAAAACUGGUGACUG